GAAAGAAGAAAAACAAUACGGUAAAGAAAGAAGAGGAAGAAGAGGACGCCAUCAGCCGGUAAAGAAGAAAAAGACGGCAAAUGAUCGCGAGCAAAAAAGACGAAACUACUGUGGUAAGACAGAAAGCGCAAGAGAAGCGCAGAGACGGGAGGUUAGUGGGGGUCGGAAAAGAGAGCUAAUGAGCUCGACGACGCGGCGCCAGUCGUCGAGUCGCCGUGUUACUACGAGUACUUGCUCUCUCAUCGUGGCUUGCUGCGUCCCCAUUUGAAAAGGGUCGUGUCCUGUCUCUGUCAGUAGGGGUUGCAGACCCGUGGCAAACCCGUCGGUUGUCUUGAUAAUCAGUGUUCGAGAUUGAGGUCGCCUAGACACGAGUUUAUGGAUUCUCAAAUACAGUGGCUGUGCACAGCUAUUAUAAUCGGAUGAAUCGUUCAUUGGCGGUGAUCGUCUCGAUUGGAAAUUCGGCUCAAAUUUGUGACAAUAAUUGCUUUUGUAGAAGCAAUGCACAUCGAGAAAAUUGUUCGGUAAUUGUGUGUCGCAGAUAAUGUUAUAAGAGAAUAAUGUUUUCUCAGGAGACAGUAACGCGCGAGCGAUCGGGCGCGUCUUUGCAGGUCGAGGACCUUUCGGUUU
Long non-coding RNA from Apis florea (little honeybee), 627 nucleotides. NCBI's taxonomy places the organism in Eukaryota, Metazoa, Arthropoda, Insecta, Hymenoptera, Apidae. The record is from RefSeq and is a predicted model, not a curated record.